UGGCUCAGUGGUUAAGAGCAUUGGUUUCCUUCCAGAGAUCCUGGGUUCAAUUCCCAG
RNAcentral lists this transfer RNA (57 nucleotides) under Cricetulus griseus (Chinese hamster). It matches the Rfam family "tRNA", at positions 8 to 63 of the family's 71-position model. Rfam says of the family: Transfer RNA (tRNA) molecules are approximately 80 nucleotides in length. Their secondary structure includes four short double-helical elements and three loops (D, anti-codon, and T loops). Further hydrogen bonds mediate the characteristic L-shaped molecular structure. tRNAs have two regions of fundamental functional importance: the anti-codon, which is responsible for specific mRNA codon recognition, and the 3' end, to which the tRNAs corresponding amino acid is attached (by aminoacyl-tRNA synthetases). tRNAs cope with the degeneracy of the genetic code in two manners: having more than one tRNA (with a specific anti-codon) for a particular amino acid; and 'wobble' base-pairing, i.e. permitting non-standard base-pairing at the 3rd anti-codon position. The record is from Rfam by way of RNAcentral. Lineage: Eukaryota; Metazoa; Chordata; Mammalia; Rodentia; Cricetidae.